GUGCAGGAUAAGUUACAAUACAGCUUGUGCAGUACUGUGUUGUCGUUCCCCCUGCAAACAGUCACUUGUUUCCUCGCUAUACCUGUUUGUCAGCACCUUUUGACUACCAGGCACGUAUGGUUUCAGACAA
Scophthalmus maximus (turbot) is the source of this 130-nucleotide small nucleolar RNA. Its record names the gene SNORA63. It matches the Rfam family "Small nucleolar RNA SNORA63". From Rfam's summary of the family: E3 belongs to the H/ACA class of snoRNAs and is involved in the processing of eukaryotic pre-rRNA and has regions of complementarity to 18S rRNA. The record is from Ensembl. NCBI's taxonomy places the organism in Eukaryota, Metazoa, Chordata, Actinopteri, Pleuronectiformes, Scophthalmidae.